Long non-coding RNA from Fundulus heteroclitus (mummichog), 1272 nucleotides. RefSeq lists it as uncharacterized. Lineage: Eukaryota; Metazoa; Chordata; Actinopteri; Cyprinodontiformes; Fundulidae. The transcript has 2 exons. The record is from RefSeq and is a predicted model, not a curated record.
UAUAUAACAGGCAGCAGCGCACCAGGUCCGCUUUGUGUCGGGACGGGACCGGGACCAGGACCGGGACAGCGGGGGGACCGAGAAACGGAAGACGAUGGCCACCGAGACGCUUCCCGCUGGGGACCGAGGCUUCUAUCCAACUGUACCCGUCCAUGACGCAAACACAGAGGUUUCCGUAGAAACAGAAGUAAAAGCUGGACUGAGCGCGUGGCAGGCUUUAAACACUGCCUCGCGCUAAACUAAUGGAACGAUAUUUAACUGGGAUUUAAUUCUGAUUUACAGAUGGGACCAAGAAAUGGGUUUGGUUUCAUAAAACGUGGUUCUGUAUGGGGAAACAACUGCUUCAUGUUCUGGUUUACCCGGGAAAAAUCAUAUAAGUAACUUUGUCUAAAGAAACCUUUAAAAAAAUUUAAGUUACUACGAUGAACUUCCAGUUAUUGUCAAACCACAGCCUGGAGGGAAAAGACUAAAGUACAAAGAAGGUUUGGACAUCUGAUCCUUUGAAGGUCAAAUGAAAGACAGCUGGAGCUGGCCAGGACCGGUUUAGACCGGUUUAAACCUGAUCUGCAGUAGGUCUGGGAAGGUUCUGGAAGAGCCGUAAACAGCUCGUGGGGGCGGGGCCAGUGGGGGCGGGGCGGGUCUGGAAUGUUCGGAGAGCAGCUCGAGGGUUCCCUCUAGUGGCGAUGCUGCUCUAUGACGCUCUGCCGCAGGUUUGUAUGCAAAGUAGAAAACCAAUAAACAUUCAGUAGUUUUGUGACAUCGGUGCCUGAUAACAGUAUUGUGUUAAAUGCUGAGUUAUAUUAGCUUCUAUGGUAAUCUGUAAAGAUAAACUGUAAUACUGUCUGGCUAUGUACCCCACCCUUACAUAAGAGCUGUAAUUAUUUCUGCAGGUUCAGUUGUAAAGUCUUUAAUAUGAAUAAAAUGUGUUGGAGAAAGAAAAUGUGUCAAGAGCGUUGCGUAACUGCACUAACAUCUAUGCCUGCCCUGGACUAGCAGGAACUAGAGAACAUAAAAAAUGCCACCAAGGACCAAAGCUAAAACAUUACGCACCACGAGGGCUUAUAAAGGACAUAUUUUUAAAGACUAUUACUAGAAGUAUAUAGUAUAAUAUUGAAUACAAUUGGGAUUGGCUGUUUAACCCACUAUGUGUCCAUUUAGUCUAAAGCAAAUAUUUUAAAGGUGCAUAUGUGCAAUACUGAGCAUCAAGAUGAGUUUAUGGACCAGAAAAUCUGAUGUCUGUUUGCCUCCUAGCAUUGGUGUAAAAAAAAAAAA